Molecule: ribosomal RNA, 394 nt
Filed under: uncultured bacterium
Lineage: Bacteria
Description: partial 16S ribosomal RNA
Rfam family: Bacterial small subunit ribosomal RNA
Source: RNAcentral
AUACGUAGGGGACGAGCGUUGUCCGGAAUUACUGGGCGUAAAGGGCGCGCAGGCGGAUAUUUAAGUCAGCUGUAAAAGGCAUGAGCUCAACUCAUGUAUGCGGUUGAAACUGGGUAUCUAGAGUGCUUGAGAGGUAGGCGGAAUUCCCGGUGUAGCGGGGAAAUGCGUAGAUAUCGGGAAGAACACCAGUGGCGAAGGCGGCUUACUGGCCAGCAACUGACGCUGAGGCGCGAAAGCCAGGGGAGCGAACGGGAUUAGAUACCCCGGUAGUCCUGGCCGUAAACGAUGAAUGCUAGGUGUGGGUGUCGAGAGGCAUCCGUGCCGGAGUUAACGCGAUAAGCAUUCCGCCUGGGGAGUACGAUCGCAAGGUUGAAACUCAAAUGAAUUGGCGGGG